GUGAAUCAUCGAAUCUUUGAACGCAAAUUGCGCCUUUUUCGGAAGGCAUGUCUGUUUGAGGGCACCAUUUAACAAAUAAUGUGCAUUUCGUGUGCACACGUUGAUGAGCUUUCCAAAAUUAUGUAUUAUUAUUUUUGUGGCGCCUAAUAAACCGCGCGAUUCUUUUUUUUAGUUUCAGUGGAAGUAA
RNAcentral lists this unclassified non-coding RNA (187 nucleotides) under Paraglomus occultum. Its description in RNAcentral is "partial contains 5.8S ribosomal RNA and internal transcribed spacer 2". The stretch from base 1 to 65 matches the Rfam family "5.8S ribosomal RNA", at positions 84 to 154 of the family's 154-position model. Lineage: Eukaryota; Fungi; Glomeromycota; Glomeromycetes; Paraglomerales; Paraglomeraceae. The record is from RNAcentral.